GGUUUAAUUCGAUGCAACGCGAAGAACCUUACCUGGUCUUGACAUCCACAGAACUUUCCAGAGAUGGAUUGGUGCCUUCGGGAACUGUGAGACAGGUGCUGCAUGGCUGUCGUCAGCUCGUGUUGUGAAAUGUUGGGUUAAGUCCCGCAACGAGCGCAACCCUUAUCCUUUGUUGCCAGCGGUUAGGUCGGGAACUCAAAGGAGACUGCCAGUGAUAAACUGGAGGAAGGUGGGGAUGACGUCAAGUCAUCAUGGCCCUUACGACCAGGGCUACACACGUGCUACAAUGGCGCAUACAAAGAGAAGCGACCUCGCGAGAGCAAGCGGACCUCAUAAAGUGCGUCGUAGUCCGGAUUGGAGUCUGCAACUCGACUCCAUGAAGUCGGAAUCGCUAGUAAUCGUGGAUCAGAAUGCCACGGUGAAUACGUUCCCGGGCCUUGUACACACCGCCCGUCACACCAUGGGAGUGGGUUGCAAAAGAAGUAGGUAGCUUAACCUUCGGGAGGGCGCUUACCACUUUGUGAUUCAUGACUGGGGUGAAGUCGUAACAAGGUAACCGUAGGGGAACCUGCGGUUGGAUCACCUCCUUA
This 590-nucleotide ribosomal RNA is filed under the name Salmonella enterica. RNAcentral describes it as "bacterial SSU rRNA". It matches the Rfam family "Bacterial small subunit ribosomal RNA", at positions 943 to 1533 of the family's 1533-position model. The record is from RNAcentral. Lineage: Bacteria; Pseudomonadati; Pseudomonadota; Gammaproteobacteria; Enterobacterales; Enterobacteriaceae.